CGAGGGGUGGUUUAACCGAUCCCCUUGGUUUGCUACCCUGGUGUCCACCUUGAUGGGACCCUUAAUCAUCCUCCUCCUAAUCCUCCUCUUUGGCCCCUGCAUUCUAAACAGAUUGAUGCAGUUCAUAAAGAACAGACUCUCAGUCAUUCAGACGCUUGUUCUCACCCAACAAUACCAGAGGGUAAGACAACAGGAAGAGAUUCCUUAGAAUUCGAUUUGAGUAAAGGAUUUUACUCAAGUCUAAAAGAAAAUGGGGGAAAAUGAAAGACCCACCCCAUGAGUCUUAACUCAGAGUUGCAACAGGCUUGAACAAGCCCAGGCACGCCCAGAUACCUAGGGC
This 340-nucleotide long non-coding RNA is filed under the name Rattus norvegicus (Norway rat). RNAcentral describes it as "long non-coding RNA NONRATT000033". Lineage: Eukaryota; Metazoa; Chordata; Mammalia; Rodentia; Muridae. The record is from RNAcentral.